CUCCUUAACUAACCUAAGCUCCCCCCCCCCAGUCACCGAGGCUCGCAUCUUCUGGGUCUCAGAGUUCCUCUCUUUUGUUCACCACCUGCUGCGUGGACAGUGGGUCAAGAGGGCACGUCAGACAGGACCAGGGUGUGAGUGGGAUUCUGUCCACACGAGGGCGCAAGACUCAAGCAUCGGUCUGAGAAGUCAGUCUCGGGACUGAGCAGUCUGUCCACACUUCCUGGGUGGCUUCCCUCCUGCCAGGGGCUGCUGCAUCUAACUUCAACCUAGAUGCUGCCUCCAGCCCUUCAAACCACCAGAAAAUGGGUAUCAGAGACUGGCUGGCAAGAUCCUUACCUGCGGCUGGAAAGCAGUCAGGCUGGGGGUUACGACUCUUCCCAGUAAGAUAGGGGGCUCUGUUUCUUCAUCCUUAGAUGAUGGAUUUGUCUUGUUAAGGCCGAGUACAAAGAUGGCCCCGCUGACCCUUUCCUUCCAGGAGGGAGCCCCCUUUAAGGCCUCGGGGACAAAGUGUGGUGUAAUGAGGUCCCAGCAGCCAUAGCUUCCUUGGGUCCCAUGUGGCAGGGCCCAAGGAAGGAGCUGGUGGAGCAGAGAUGGGGCACAUGUAUAAUAUCCUGUCCCCUGGCCCUCAGCUCCAGUUCCCAUGUCUGUCUGUCUGUCUGUCUGUUUGUCUGUCUGUCUGUCCAUACCAGCUGCUCCCUCUUCCCUGGUUACUGGUUCUGGAUUGCCUGUCGUCUACAGGGACAACUGGGACUUCAGAAGGUCCUGCUUGGCGUUUGCAUCCCCACCAUUCUUUUAAGUUUGAUUCUUCAUCUGCUGUUUUGUGGCCUUUAACAAGUGGAGGGUGUGAGGCUACUACUGCUACAUACUGCUACAAACACAGAGACACAUUCCUGACUUCAGUUACACCUGCCCCCUGCCCACCUCAAAGUCUAACUCUUCCCCUGCCCUCUGAGCGCCCCAGCUGGUCUUGGGGCAGUGGAAAAGCCCCUUUAAUGCCCUUCCUGCCCCACCUCACAGGGCCUUCAGACCCAUGGUCCUGCUCCCACCCACCUUGGUGUCUUCCAUACUCAUCCUUUCUUUGCUGUCUCUUUUCUGAGGGGGGCAGUGGAAUUUAUACAAUAUUUAAGCAGCCAGAGCCGGGUCCUGGAAGAUAUUAUUAAUGUGGAAGGGAUGGGCCGCAAAUGCUUCUGGACCUGGUUACAAUUAGAGGGUGAUUUUUCUAAAGGUCAAUGAAUUCAGAUAAUAUCCACAGGGGGGAGAGAAAUUUAAUACCUUUUUAGUGAAUUAAUUAAUUAUAAUAUUAUAUCGGCUUGGGGUUCUUUUCCAGAGUGAUUAAGGCAGCGAUCUGUCUUCUGUGAGCUCCCUGCCAUGAGGACCCUGUCAUGGGCUUGGCGACAGGGCCCUUCACUCUCCUCUCACCAGGCAGGUGGGGGUUGGGGAGGAGCAGAAAACGCUGAAGGGCGGCAGCAGGUGGGAUAAACUGCAGCACCCUGUUCCUCAUCUUGCAUCCCCAGCCUGCUUCCUGCUGCAUCCAGCCUCAUCCCACAGUGACUAGAGGAAAAUCCGUUACACUUGGGGAAACUGAGGCUCAUGGACUUCCACAUCUUGCCUGAGCAUGAUGGCUGCCAGGCAGAGCUGGCUAGAAACUCCACUCUCCAUCCAUCCCCUAAACCAGACAAUCUGGACCACAGACCCUCCAUAGGGAAAGUUCCAAUGUGGCUUUCUGCUCUUCCUGUCACAAAGUGAUUACAGGAUAUGGAGUGUGCCAUGAGGCUGCAGGCUGGUGAAGAGGAGCUGAGAUCUCUGUCCUGCGGAGACCUGAGCACACACAUUUGUUCCUGUCUUCAGUCACACAGUCAUUCAACAAGCCUUCAGGGCACACUACUUUGUUCCGUGGGAGACAGGCUGAAGUUGUCAUCCUGGAGUCCCAGCCAUUCAUGGACACUGGGUUGAGCAAUCACUGGGAACUGGUGCUGUCUGGAUAGCCUUAGGGGGACAAAGGACAGACAUGUAAGCUGGGGACAUGGUGGGGACACAGACAUGUAAGCUGUAAGUGAUAGCGGGAGCAGAGUUGGCAGUGAGCUGAGUCUCUAGGGACCAGGUUGGCAGGAGUGCUCCCCCUGUAGGAGGAGGAAGGGAGCACUCUAGGUAUGGGACUCCAAUUGUGCAGUGAGGCCUGAAGGUGCUGAAGUCAAAUGGGUGAGGAUCCCUGCAGAUGGGGCCUGGCAAUCUGAGGCCAGGUUAUGGCUGCUUCUGUCCACUCACAUCCCAGAUGUGUUGACUGAGACUGUUCCACGAGGCCACAGCAUGUGGGUGGAAAGCCAGAAGCAGCAAAGCCAAACAGACCUGCAUUUCAUAGUGGACUCUGCCUCAGCCAGCUGCAUGACAAUCUGUGCCUCAGUUUCCCCUUCUGUGAUGGAGAUCUAUAACCACUCAGGCUGCUUUAGGAACUAAAUGAGGACUGAAGAGGAGCUAACGCUGCUCUGAGCUUGCCUGACAUCCUGGGGGUGGGUGGUCACUGCCCCACCCCCACCUCUCUUUUUUUUCAAGGGGGUACCAGUGGAAGCUCAGGUUAGGGGUGUUCUUUGUCGGGGGACAGACUUUUUCCUUGGCUCUGCUUUUUUCUUCUCCCUGCCCCUGUCCCUGUCCCUCAAUGCCCUCCUUGGCCUGGCUCCCCCUCCCAGCCCCUCCCCCACUGGCUCACUCUGUGUGCGGCAGGCCAGGGAGGGCCUUCCCAUUGUACUAUCUUUGGGCCCUAAAUUAAAAUUGAUGACAUCUUGAAAUGAGCAGUGAGGGUAAUUUUGCUUCAGAGCCGGGAUGCUAAUGAGGCCCCUUAAUGGUGCAAAAGCUGAGCUGACGGGUCGUGUGUCACACGCAGCAGCUAGGGGGGUAAUGGCCACGGUAAGUGCUGGUAAUUACACCCUGUCUUGCUGUAUUUUGGCAGGCCUGGUGGGAGAGCAGAGGCUCAAUCACCACUGGCGGGGACACCCCCACCCACCAUGGGACUGACAGCCAGGGAUACCCCCUGGGCCCAGCCAGGCCCCCUCAAAUCCAGCCCCACGUAGAAUGAGGGUCUUGGCCAUAGCCUCCAACACAGGCGCUGCAACACACAGUAACAGCACUGGACACCCCUCGGCCUUGCACAUUCAUCCCCAGAACCUGGGCAUGCUCCCUGUGCGGUCAUGCAACGCACAUGGUGCUGUGCGAACGAACGCACAGCUUGACCACUGUGCUCUCCGUGAACACACAAAACUGUGUAGAGGCACAUGCAAACCCACACAAAAUCGCCUUCUCAGAUAUGAGCAUGCAAUGAGUGCCUAGGAGCUCACCUAGGAGCUCUCGCCCUCCCAACCAACUGCCUCUUCCCACACUUCUCUCUCCCCGCCUCCUCUCUGUCUUUUACACAGUCACUUUAUUUACGCAUGGAUUGAUUUCUUUUAUUUUCUGUGCUUAUGUGUUUUGCCUGCAUGUAUAUCUGCUCUAUGUGUGUCUUGUGCACGAGGAGACCAGAAGAGGGCAUCGCAUCCCCUGGGACGGGAAUUACAGAUGGUUGUGAGCUGCCACAAAGCCCCCAGGCUCUUGUCCUGUGGGCAUCCUGCCUCUUCCAGGCUCUGAGUUAACAGCAUGGACUUGGUCUGACUGCCUGGGUUCUCCAUCUAAGUCAAUAGAAAUGUGCUGUUACUCAGCCUUUGCCUCCAUUUCCUUAUCUGUAAGUUGGGGGGUGCUAAGGGCAUCUGGAUGUAGACACAGAUAAGUGAGUUUAUAGUUGCCAAGCACAUGGUGUCUGGCACAACUUCACUAAGUGUGUGGAGAGGUUGUGUCCUGGCAAAGAAUGCUCUUCAGGAUGGGACAGGCACCAAGGAGCAGGCAGUGGGAAGCAGAGCAGGGAUGCCACCUAAGGCUGGGGUGGCCAGGGAGGGUCUCACGGAGGGAGAAAGCUUUGGACUAUAGCCAGCUUUGCCUGUGCACCAGCAGCCUCCUCUGCUCCUCAGCUGUGAACUGGGCCAGGUGUACGGUCCCACCAGAGCAACAGGUGACAACUGAGAGUGUCUGGGAGAAGAAAGACACAGGGCCACCCAUUCUAUAUGCAGGGCCAGUAGGCCAUGGAGGAGAGUACUGUAUCAUACCGACUUGUUCCUCACACAUUGCUCAGCUAACCUCUCUCUCUCUCUCUCUCUCUCUCUCUCUCUCUCUCUCUCCCUCCCUCCCUCCUUUUUUGAGACAGGGUCUCACUGUGUUGUCCUGGCUGACUGGCUUGCUUAGAACUUAUUACAUAGACCAGGCUGGCCUUGAACUCACAGCCACCUGUCUGUGCCUCCCCAUUGCUAGAAUUAAAGGGGUGCACUAGCACACCCAGUUGAAUUCUUGUACAAUCCAGGACUACCUGCCCAGGGGUGACACCACCCACAGAGUGGUGGACCCUCCUGGAUCAUUCAUUAGUCAAGAAUGCUCCUAGGGACUUGCCCACAGGCGGAGGUGAUACAGGCCUUUUCUCAAGUGAAGUUCUCUCUUCCCAGAUGACCCUAGCUUGUGUCAAGCUGACAAACAAGCUAACCAGCAUAGCUCUCUCAGAUAAAAGUCCUCAUUCAGAGCCUGUGGCCUCCUGUGGAAAGCAGCCCACACUCCUGGCCCAUCUCUAAUGGGGUGGGUUACCACGGUGGGUGUCUUCACCUGAGGUGGAAACUGCAGGCAACUUUCCUGCUCGGGUCUCAGAGCCUGGCACCUGAUAUCCAUUCUAAGGUAUCUGUGGGAUGAAAGGACAGACACACUGUGGGCCUCUAGAGCCCUAGCAAGAUGGCUUGGUGCACUGGCUGCUCUUCUAGAGGAUAGAGGAUCUGGGUUCCAUUUCCAGCACUCACAUGGCAACUCACAAUCAGCUGUAACUCUAGUUUUGUGUGUGUGUGUGUGUGUGUGUGUGUGUAACAAAAUUUUAUAAGUGGUCACCUAGGGUGCUGGGUGCAAAUAAAAUAACAGAUAAAAUUAAUUUCUAGCUCUGUUUUUAAGACAGGAUCUCAUAUUUUCUAGGCUGAUGCCAAACUGCCUAGGUAAGUAAGGAUGACCUCAACUUUCUCUUUGCUAGUGUGUGUGUGUGUGUGUGUGUGUGUGUGUGUGUGUGUGUGUGUAUUUGUGUUCCCAUGUGUGGGUGUGGGCAUGUGUGCUUUCAAAUGUGUGGAUUACAUGUGUGCAUGUGUGGAGACCUGAAGCUGGAGGCAGGGGUCUUAUUGCUCCUCUCUCUCCUGACGUCUCUCAGUUGAAGCCAGAGCACAAGAUCUGCUGGAUGUCCUCACUAGCUUGACCCCUGGGGACUCCGUCCACCUCUCUGCCACACCUGCCAAGCUUCUAUGUCCACUCUUAGGUUCCAAACUCUGGUCCGGAGGCUUGUUUGACCAGCCUUUAUCCAGUGAGCCAUCUCCUCAGCCUCACCUCUAGGUGCUGGGGUCACAGGCAUGGGCUACCACACCUGUAGGACUGGGUGGAAGGAGCCUCAUAUAUGCUGGGCAAGCAUUUUCCAGCUGUGCAAUCCCCCAGCCCUUUACUGUCUCUUCCUUCUGUCCCAGUUUUAAUGAUACUUCUUCUCUCCAUGGCCCCCCCCCCAGCCCUGCCCCGAGAGAGGGUUUCUCUGUGUAGCCCUGGCUGUCCUGGAACUCUCUCUGUAGACCAGGCUGGCCUUGAACUCACGAAGACCCUCCGGCCGCUGCCUCCCUAGUGCUGGGAUUAAAGGCAUGUGCCACUGAUGAGCUUAUCAGGACAUCCACUACACCUUCCCCUGUUCCUCAACCCAGGCCUGGUGGUUGGCACCAAGCUUGCCUGCUUGCCCUCCUGCUGGCAGGAGGCGGGGCAGCACGUACCAUGCUGGAUGGCGAGGUCUCCAGCUUGUACAAAGAAGGCACUAAGGAGGUAGGUGUCCCACACCGUAGUUUUUCCUCUCCUUGCUCGGUCUCCAGGCAGCAGUGGGACAUCUUAUUUCACCAACACAAACCCUAUAACCACCAGCAAUCACGGCCAUCCCCUCCCUCACCGUACACACUUGGGCAGACGCUGUCUGCAUUCGGUGUCUCAGGUAUGGCUUGUGAUCUGUGUAAUUCACGGGACUCCGGUCUUCCCUGCCCAAGCUCUUCCCUCUCUUCCAGCCUCUCCACUCCAUGGCAGAUUGCUAGCCAACCAGAGUUUGAAGUCCACUGAGGAUGGUAUCUGCUGGAUGUGACAAAGACAAAGCAUGGCUUCAUUUGCGUCCAAGCCCCCUUGCCUUCUCUGUCUGCUAGGUCCCAUUUGGGGUCACCCAAGCCCUGGAGGCCUGGCCUGGCCUGGCCCUGCAGCCCCUCAGUUCUUAGUGUGGCUGGGAGUGACACUUUUCUUAGCUAGCUCACUGCCCUGUGCUCACCAGGUGAAGCCCACACACCCUCAGGUGGGGCAAGGGUUGCUUUUCAGUCUCUGAAAGCCAUCAGUCUCAGUGUUGACUGCUUCUCCAUAAGAUCCCCAUAGUUUAGCCUGUCCUGUUCUCUUCUCUGCCUGCCUCCCCCAUCUCACGUAGCUCAGUUUGGCCUUAAAUUCAGUAAGAAGCUGAGAACGUCCUUACACUCCGGAUCCUCUUGCUUUCAUCCCAAGAGCAGGAAUGGCAAAUGUGCACCACACCCCUGUUUCUGAAGUGCUGGGGGCUGAACCCACAGCUUCCUGAAUGCCGGACAGUCUGCCAGCAAAGCUGCAUCCCCAGCCCUGCGGUUUUUCCUUAACUCCAAAUUUCCCAAGCCAAAGUCAACGAUCUCAGGUCUAGUCGCCCUUGCAGCUCGGCAAUCCCUUCUGGGCACUUUCUGGACACAGGCCUGGGCCUCUGCCGGGGCUGCAGAUGUGAAUGUCAAAGCCUCGUCCAGUGUUGACUCCUAAAUGGCCCCAGAGUAAACAGCCCAGUACAAGGGUCUUCUGGGAACAGAGGCUACUUACGAGGGCUGGGUCACAUGAUCCUGACCACCAAGGGCCUCUGCCAGCCUCCCUUCCCCCAGCAGGAAGGUCCGCGGGGGGGGGGGGGGAGGAAUCCGAGAGAUUUGGCUUGAGAGGGGAGGGGAUGAAGUGGAGAAUAAAUAUAAUUGUUCCCGUUUGAUAACUUUUUCUAAUUAGGGACCAAUUAUAUCUGGUACUUAACUGGGGUCCCGGUAGAUUCUUUAGUUUGCUAGAUAAUUACUGGCUAGUAAUCCGGCAGUGGGAAGUGGGCAAAGAGUGUGCCCCCACAACAUUUUGGUUUGUCCUACCUGUGGUGGGGAAUGGGGUGGGGUGGUUCUGCCCACGGCUGGGUGGAGGUGGGAGGGAUGGACGACGACUUUGUCCAAAGAGCAGGCAGGCACUCUAGAAAUACCUAGGCAGUCCUACUUUCUCCCUGUCCCUGAGCCCCAGGCCCCUAUCCAGGAGCCUGUCAUUUCUCUGUAGCCAUCAACCAAUACCACAAGGGGGCAGGGACGUCUGGGAUUGUGCCUUUUAGCAGGCACACGCCCACUCAGCUUUCAGGAACAGAGUCACUUCCAAUUUGGGAACUCUUUUAGGAAGUGCACCUGUACACACACGCACACACACUUGUGCUUAGGGGCAGAGAUAUGUUUAAUGAUAAGGGUAUCGCCAACCAUACUUUAUAGGUCAGAAAACGGAGAUGCCAAGUGAUGUGAAGUAUAAAUCCAACUUACUAAAAUUGCCAAGAUUGUGAUUGAAGGGGCUGGAGAGAUGGGUUCGUGGUUAAGAGCACUUGGUGCUUUUGCAGAGUACCAGGGUUCCCAGCACCCACAACCAUCUGUAAUUCAAGCUCCAGAUAUGAUGCCCUCUGCUGACUUCUUUGGGUACUGCAGCCUGUGGUGCGCACAUGCAAGUGCAGACAAAACACACAGAAUAAAAAUAAUCUUUAAAAAUGUGCUUGGGGCUGGAGAAAUGGCUCAGAGGUUAAGAGCACUGGCUGCUCUUCCAGAGGUCCUGAGUUCAAUUCCCAGCAACCACAUGGUGGCUCACAACCAUCUGUUAUGAGAUCUGGUGCCCUCUUC
Molecule: long non-coding RNA, 8021 nt
Filed under: Cricetulus griseus (Chinese hamster)
Lineage: Eukaryota; Metazoa; Chordata; Mammalia; Rodentia; Cricetidae
Description: lncRNA (ENSCGRG00015041930.1)
Source: RNAcentral